Molecule: small nuclear RNA, 109 nt
Organism: Nycticebus coucang (slow loris)
Lineage: Eukaryota; Metazoa; Chordata; Mammalia; Primates; Lorisidae
Source: RefSeq, a predicted model, not a curated record
GUGCUUGCUUUGGUAGCACAUAUACUAAAAAAUUGGAAAGAUGUGGGGAAGAUUAGCGUGGCCCCUGACCAAGGAUGACACACAAAUUUGUGGAAUGUUCCAUUUUUUU